CAGGGAGGUGGAUUCAUUCAAGGGGGAACAAUGAGUAGCAUUGGAUUGCACAAUGAGAUUCCCUAUUAAGCUUGCUGCUGCUGUGGGAGAUUGCAGGAUUGUGGAUAGCUUAAAAGACGGGGAAGUCGGAGACAGUGAACUCCUGCUUCUGCGAUUGUUGCUAAGGAGAUUUAGAAACGUUUGCUCUUUCAAUUAUCAGCAUAUUCAGCGUGUUGUUCUAUGAAGAACUUCUAUAAUAUGUGUGUGUCUGCCUGCUCGGCUAGGUAUUCUUCAGAUACUAGAAAAUCAACUAUCGGUGAGUGUCAAAUGUGUCAUCUGUGGAUGUGGUGAACUCUGCUGAAUCAAUUUAUUGUUCUUAUA
This is a non-coding RNA of Punica granatum (pomegranate), 360 nucleotides long. Lineage: Eukaryota; Viridiplantae; Streptophyta; Magnoliopsida; Myrtales; Lythraceae. The record is from RefSeq and is a predicted model, not a curated record.